AUUGAACGCUGGCGGCAGGCCUAACACAUGCAAGUCGAGCGGAUGAAGGGAGCUUGCUCCUGGAUUCAGCGGCGGACGGGUGAGUAAUGCCUAGGAAUCUGCCUGGUAGUGGGGGAUAACGUCCGGAAACGGGCGCUAAUACCGCAUACGUCCUGAGGGAGAAAGUGGGGGAUCUUCGGACCUCACGCUAUCAGAUGAGCCUAGGUCGGAUUAGCUAGUUGGUGGGGUAAAGGCCUACCAAGGCGACGAUCCGUAACUGGUCUGAGAGGAUGAUCAGUCACACUGGAACUGAGACACGGUCCAGACUCCUACGGGAGGCAGCAGGGGGGAAUAUUGGACAAUGGGCGAAAGCCUGAUCCAGCCAUGCCGCGUGUGUGAAGAAGGUCUUCGGAUUGUAAAGCAUUUUAAGUUGAGAGGAAGGGCAGUAAGUUAAGACCUUGCUGUUUUGACGUUACCAACAGAAUAAGCACCGGCGAACUUCGU
RNAcentral lists this ribosomal RNA (483 nucleotides) under uncultured bacterium. RNAcentral describes it as "partial 16S ribosomal RNA". It matches the Rfam family "Bacterial small subunit ribosomal RNA", at positions 30 to 506 of the family's 1533-position model. The record is from RNAcentral.